UGAAAUUUUACCAUAAGGUUCAAUACCACAAAAGGAAGGUGGAGAUUGAUUUUGGGGGUUAUGGUACCAACAGUAAAGGAAUUAGGGGCCAAAAAGGGGCCAAAAAUAAGCAUUUUUGUAACUUCAAGACAUAACUUGUGUGUUAGUGUAUGGAUCUCUCUGACAUUGUACCACAAGGUUCCAUAUCACAAAGGGAAUGCUAGGAUUGAUUUUGGGGGUAAUUGCCUCCAAAUUUUAGGAAUUAGGGGCAAAAAAGGGGCAAAAAACAGGCAUUUUUUCUAGUUUCAUGACAAUAACUUGUGUGUAAGUGUAUGGAUCUCUCUGACAUUGUACCACAAGGUUCCAUAUCACAAAGGAAAUGCUGGGAUUGAUUUUGGGGGUAAUUGCCUCUAAAUUUUAGGAAUUAGGGGCCAAAAAGGGGCAAAAAACGCAUUUUUUCUAGUUUCAUGACAAUAACUUGUGUGUAAGUGUAUGGAUCUUUAUGAAAUUGUACUACAAGGUUCCAUAUCACAAAGGGAAAGCUGGAAUUGAGUUUGGGGGUAAUUGCCCAAAACGUUUAGGAAUAAGGGGCCAAAAAGGGGCAAAAAAAUAAGCAUUUUUCUAGUUUCAGGACAAGUACUUGUGUGUAGUAUAUGGAUCUUUAUGAAAUUGUACUGCAAGGUUCCAUAUCACAAAGGGAAAGCUGGGUUUGAGUUUGGGGGUAAUUGCCCUAAACGUUUAGGAAUUUGGGGUCAAAAAGGGGCCAAAAAACAAGCAUUUUUCUAGUUUCCAGACAAUAACUUGUGUUCAAGUGUAUGGAUCUCUCUGAAAUUGUACUGCAAGGUACCAUACCAAAAAGGGAAGGCUGGGAUUGAGUUUGGGGGUGAUGAAUCAUAAGGGGGUUCAAAAAAUUUGGGGGGGGGAUUUUUUUUUCCUUUUUUUUCUUUAAAAUUUUCCAUUUUAAAUUGGUUAUUUCUGAUUUAUAUAUAAAAGCAAAUAAGAAUGAUAUGGUUUGAAUAGGUAAAUUAAAAAUUUUAAGUUCUUAGUCCACAUUCAUUCUGUGUCAGAAACCUAUGC
Molecule: long non-coding RNA, 1056 nt
Organism: Mytilus californianus (California mussel)
Lineage: Eukaryota; Metazoa; Mollusca; Bivalvia; Mytilida; Mytilidae
Exons: 3
Source: RefSeq, a predicted model, not a curated record